RNAcentral lists this transfer RNA (68 nucleotides) under human gut metagenome. It matches the Rfam family "tRNA". From Rfam's summary of the family: Transfer RNA (tRNA) molecules are approximately 80 nucleotides in length. Their secondary structure includes four short double-helical elements and three loops (D, anti-codon, and T loops). Further hydrogen bonds mediate the characteristic L-shaped molecular structure. tRNAs have two regions of fundamental functional importance: the anti-codon, which is responsible for specific mRNA codon recognition, and the 3' end, to which the tRNAs corresponding amino acid is attached (by aminoacyl-tRNA synthetases). tRNAs cope with the degeneracy of the genetic code in two manners: having more than one tRNA (with a specific anti-codon) for a particular amino acid; and 'wobble' base-pairing, i.e. permitting non-standard base-pairing at the 3rd anti-codon position. The record is from RNAcentral.
UGAUAUGGCUCAGUCGGUAGAGCGUCGCCUUGGUAAGGCGGAGGUCACGGGUUCAAUUCCCGUUAUCA